Camellia sinensis is the source of this 432-nucleotide non-coding RNA. Lineage: Eukaryota; Viridiplantae; Streptophyta; Magnoliopsida; Ericales; Theaceae. The record is from RefSeq and is a predicted model, not a curated record.
UUAAUACAUUUUGUUAUAACAGACGGAUGUUUUUUUGCUGAUGUUGUUUUGUUCAUAAUAGUAUGAAUUUAUUAUUAGUUGGAUCUUUAUCUGCCCGGGCCAAGCAACUUCAGCCCCAUGAGUACAAUUCAGGGACUUUUACUCUUUCCAAUUUGGGCAUGUUUGGAGUGGAUAGGUUUGAUGCUAUUCUUCCUCUAGGCCAGGGGGCUAUAAUGGCUGCUAGAGCAUCAAAGCCUACUGCUAUAAUAGGUGAGGUGAAUAUAAAUUGAUUGUGAAUUGGCCAGACCCAAGUUUUACAUUCAUUCUUAGAUUCAGUAAAUGCUUAUACACAGAGAAUUCAUCAUGGUUCAGUAGUUGUCUGCAGCAUCUCUGUUUCUGAAGUUUGAUUUUCUUCACUCUUCUGCUGCUGUUUGCUAUAUAGAAGUAGGAAAC